ACCUUCGUGGUGUAAUGGUUAGCACACUCGGUGCGUAUUUCGAGAGUUCCAGGUUCGAGUCCCGGUGAAGGCA
Molecule: transfer RNA, 73 nt
Filed under: Stegodyphus mimosarum
Lineage: Eukaryota; Metazoa; Arthropoda; Arachnida; Araneae; Eresidae
Rfam family: tRNA
About the family: Transfer RNA (tRNA) molecules are approximately 80 nucleotides in length. Their secondary structure includes four short double-helical elements and three loops (D, anti-codon, and T loops).
Source: Rfam by way of RNAcentral